GGUGGGAGGCUGGAUCCUGGGCUGUGUCCCCAACGCCCUGUGCUCACGGUCCUGCGCUGUUGGAUUCGUGCUCCCGGCCGGUCAGCCCCCU
This 91-nucleotide microRNA precursor is filed under the name Canis lupus familiaris (dog). RNAcentral describes it as "mir-8799 microRNA precursor family". It matches the Rfam family "mir-8799 microRNA precursor family". RNAcentral also lists the same sequence under 1 other name. Lineage: Eukaryota; Metazoa; Chordata; Mammalia; Carnivora; Canidae. The record is from Rfam by way of RNAcentral.